GUAGGUGGCAAGCGUUGUCCGGAAUUAUUGGGCGUAAGGCGCGCGCAGGCGGUUCUUUAAGUCUGAUGUGAAAGCCCACGGGCUCAACCGUGGAGGGUCAUUGGAAACUGGAGAACUUGAGUACAGAAGAGGAAAGCGGAAUUCCACGUGUAGCGGUGAAAUGCGUAGAGGUGUGGAGGAACACCAGUGGCGAAGGCGGCUUUCUGGUCUGCAACUGACGCUGAGGCGCGAAAGCGUGGGGAGCAAACAGGAUUAGAUACCCUGGUAGUCCACGCCGUAAACGAUGAGUGCUAAGUGUUAGGGGGUUUCCGCCCCUUAGUGCUGCAGCUAACGCAUUAAGCACUCCGCCUGGGGAGUACGGCCGCAAGGCUG
Molecule: ribosomal RNA, 372 nt
Filed under: uncultured organism
Description: partial 16S ribosomal RNA
Rfam family: Bacterial small subunit ribosomal RNA
Source: RNAcentral